This 440-nucleotide ribosomal RNA is filed under the name uncultured bacterium. Its description in RNAcentral is "partial 16S ribosomal RNA". It matches the Rfam family "Bacterial small subunit ribosomal RNA", at positions 338 to 795 of the family's 1533-position model. The record is from RNAcentral.
CCUACGGGAGGCAGCAGUGGGGAAUAUUGCACAAUGGGGGAAACCCUGAUGCAGCGACGCCGCGUGAGUGAAGAAGUAAUUCGUCAUGUAAAGCUCUAUCAGCAGGGAAGAAAAUGACGGUACCUGAGUAAGAAGCCCCGGCGAACUACGGGCCAGCAGGCGCGGUAAUACGUAGGGGGCCAGCGUUUUUCGGAUUUACUGGGGGUAAAGGGGGCGUAGAGGGGAGUGCAAGUCUGGAGUUAAAGGUGGGGGCCCAAACCCCGGACUGCCCUGGAAACUGUACGGCUUGAGUGCAGGAGAGGUAAGUGGAAUUCCUGGUGUAGCGGUGAAAUGCGUAGAUAUUAGGCGGAACACCAGUGGCGAAGGCGGCUUACUGGACUGUAACUGACGUUGAAGCUCGAAAGCGUGGGGAGCAAACAGGAUUAGAUACCCUUGUAGUC